GAACCUGAAACCGUGUACGUACAAGCAGUGGGAGCCCCACCACUAAGCCAGUGGUGAACUCCACAUACGCAUCCUUUGCUGAGGAUACGGUUAACGGAGCGAAAGCGACGUUCAACCGCAAAAGAAGCAGAGGGGGCUUAGUGGUGGGGUGACUGCGUACCUUUUGUAUAAUGGGUCAGCGACUUAUAUUCUGUAGCAAGGUUAACCGAAUAGGGGAGCCGGAGGGAAACCGAGUCUUAACCGGGCGUUAAGUUGCAGGGUAUAGACCCGAAACCCGGUGAUCUAGCCAUGGGCAGGUUGAAGGUUGGGUAACACUAACUGGAGGACCGAACCGACUAAUGUUGAAAAAUUAGCGGAUGACCUGUGGCUGGGGGUGAAAGGCCAAUCAAACCGGGAGAUAGCUGGUUCUCCCCGAAAGCUAUUUAGGUAGCGCCUCGUGAAUUCAUCUCCGGGGGUAGAGCACUGUUUCGGCUAGGGGGCCAUCCCGGCUUACCAACCCGAUGCAAACUGCGAAUACCGGAGAAUGUUAUCACGGGAGACACACGGCGGGUGCUAACGUCCGUCGUGAAGAGGGAAACAACCCAGACCGCCAGCUAAGGUCCCAAAGUCAUGGUUAAGUGGGAAACGAUGUGGGAAGGCCCAGACAGCCAGGAUGUUGGCUUAGAAGCAGCCAUCAUUUAAAGAAAGCGUAAUAGCUCACUGGUCGAGUCGGCCUGCGCGGAAGAUGUAACGGGGCUAAACCAUGCACCGAAGCUGCGGCAGCGAACGUAUCACUUAAAGCGAUUCAGCGGGUUACGAUUGACGGAGCGAAGCGACGUCAAAGCGUAUACAAAGUCGAGUCGGUUUAAGGAUACGUUCGUUGGGUAGGGGAGCGUUCUGUAAGCCUGUGAAGGUGGCCUGUGAGGGUUGCUGGAGGUAUCAGAAGUGCGAAUGCUGACA
RNAcentral lists this ribosomal RNA (939 nucleotides) under Salmonella enterica subsp. enterica serovar Dublin. Its description in RNAcentral is "partial 23S ribosomal RNA". It matches the Rfam family "Bacterial large subunit ribosomal RNA", at positions 546 to 1302 of the family's 2925-position model. Lineage: Bacteria; Pseudomonadati; Pseudomonadota; Gammaproteobacteria; Enterobacterales; Enterobacteriaceae. The record is from RNAcentral.